This is a long non-coding RNA of Leopardus geoffroyi (Geoffroy's cat), 837 nucleotides long. RefSeq lists it as uncharacterized. The transcript is spliced from 5 exons. The record is from RefSeq and is a predicted model, not a curated record. NCBI's taxonomy places the organism in Eukaryota, Metazoa, Chordata, Mammalia, Carnivora, Felidae.
ACAGACAUAGCAUUCCCUAGGAUGUAGCUUGUACAGAGACCAUGUGCUGGGCUCUCUGAGGGAUGAAACACACCCCUAACAUACUUUCUAGCGAGUUGAGACCUGAGCUGUUCACAGCUGCUUGAUUAGUUAUAAAAACACCUGAACCAGGGCCCUGUAAACCUUCCUCAAAGGACAGGAUCAGAUCUCCCUCUUGUCCUCAAGGGUCACCCGAGGCACAUGAAAAAUGCUCUGUCCCUGGUAAGGGACCCGAGAGUGUGAAUGAGUUGAAUAUAAUGAAACAUGUUCAGGAUGGUUUGUUUUUCUUCCACACAGUCUAUGCAAGUCAGAAUCAACCUCCAUCCGCCUCCAUCCUUUAUGAGACCUAAGACGUGAUGCAGCUCCAAUGGGAAAUAUCAGUUGUGUCUCUACCAAGGAUGCAGAAAAAGACAAGAUUCAGGCUUGUUUCCGGUAAGAAACGCUGACAGAAAUUCAGAAGAACGGGAGCUGCAUUCCAUUAGGACUUGAAGACACGAAAUGUUCGUCUCAGGACCUUCUAGAAGAAUGAGCUGGGACCCACUUUCCGAGUCCUGCUGGAACCAGUGACCGAGGUGUGGAGUUUGUUGUGCCAGUCUUGGAUCCCUCUCUGGUUCAUGGACUGGGAUGUGGAUGUUAUGCAGUUGAAAACAUGGGACAGCAUAUCGGCCAGGUGUCUGAAGGCCUGCACUAGGGUACCUACCUCCUUUUCGGAUAGACUGUAUUCCCUUUCCAUGUUUUAGCUGUACCUGUGACACAGGGCACGAGAACGUGCUCAUGUGAACACAAGUGAAGGACACCGUGGGGACUUGCCACACAGGG